RNAcentral lists this ribosomal RNA (482 nucleotides) under uncultured bacterium. RNAcentral's name for it is "SSU rRNA". It matches the Rfam family "Bacterial small subunit ribosomal RNA", at positions 26 to 521 of the family's 1533-position model. The record is from RNAcentral.
AGGACGAACGCUGGCGGCGUGCUUAACACAUGCAAGUCGAGCGAGGCUCUCUCCUUCGGGAGGGAUGCCCUAGCGGCGAACGGGUGAGUAACACGUGGGCAACCUGCCCCUAGCACUGGGAUAACUCCGGGAAACCGGGCUAAUACCGGAUACGACCUCUGAGGGCAUCCUCCGGAGGUGGAAAGCAUUGUGGCUAGGGAUGGGCCCGCGGCCUAUCAGCUUGUUGGUGGAGUACGGCCCACCAAGGCGACGACGGGUAGCCGGCCUGAGAGGGCGACCGGCCACACUGGGACUGAGACACGGCCCAGACUCCUACGGGAGGCAGCAGUGGGGAAUAUUGCACAAUGGGCGAAAGCCUGAUGCAGCGACGCCGCGUGAGGGAUGACUGCCUUCGGGUUGUAAACCUCUUUCAGCAGGGACGAAGCGAAAGUGACGGUACCUGCAGAAGAAGCACCGGCCAACUACGCGCCAGCAGCCGCGGU